AAUCAGGUGGGACUACCCGCUGAACUUAAGCAUAUCAAUAAGCGGAGGAAAAGAAAAUAACUAUGAUUCCCUUAGUAACGGCGAGUGAACAGGGAGAAGCCCAAAUUUGUAAUCUG
This 116-nucleotide ribosomal RNA is filed under the name uncultured Melampsora. Its description in RNAcentral is "partial 28S ribosomal RNA". It matches the Rfam family "Eukaryotic large subunit ribosomal RNA", at positions 9 to 124 of the family's 3401-position model. The record is from RNAcentral. Lineage: Eukaryota; Fungi; Basidiomycota; Pucciniomycetes; Pucciniales; Melampsoraceae.